UCACCCUUUUUUUUUUUAUUCUUGGCAGGAAAAGCUUCGGGCGCCGCCCGGACAGGGUGGGGGAGGGGCGGGGAAAUCCCCUCCCCCACUCCCCCCAUGGCCCCUCCCCACCCCCAAAAAACUUGGCCCCCCCCCCCGGCCCAACACAAAGCACAUUUGCAUAGAUCGGGUUCAAAAGGAACCAAUUUUACAAUGAGGGGGGGAGGGGGAGAAACGCCCCUCCCCCACACCCCCCAGGCCCCGCCCACCCCCGCCCCCCCGACUCUGCUGGGCACGGUCCUGAAACAAGAUGGCCGCCGGGAGGCAAGGAUGGCCGCCGGGAGUCACGGGAGUUGCAAGGAACCAAGAUGGCCGCCGGGUUGUGUGGGUCAGCUCGUAGUUCAAGAUGGCCGCCGGGAACCAAGAUGGCCGCCGGGUUUUGUGAUCUGCUCACAGUCAAGAUGGCGCCGGGAGUGACGGGAGUUGGUGGGAGUCAAGAUGGCCGCCGGAAAUCAAGAUGGCCGCCGGGAUUUGUGGUCUGCUUCGUAGUCAAGAUGGCCGCCGGGAAUCAAGAUGGCCGCCGGGAUUUGGGGUCUGCUCGUAGUCAAGAUGGCCGCCGGGAAUCAAGAUGGCCACCGGGAGUGACGGGAGUUGGUGGCAGCCAAGAUGGCCACCGGGUUUUGUGGGUCAGUCCAUAGCCAAGAUGGCCGCCAGGAAUCAAAAUGGCCGCCAGGACUCCCAGAGGUUACCAAAAAUCAAAAUGGCCGCCGGGUUUCAGCGUUUGAGGUCAAGAUGGCCGCCAGGUCACGUGACGAUCAGAUCAAGAUGGCCGCCAGGAAACAAGAUGGCUGCGGGGUUCAAGAUGGCGGCUGGGCGGAGCCAAGAUGGUCGCCCCAGAGCCACAAAAUGGCUGCCGCCGAUGACGCUGCUGAUUUCAAUGGACGUCGGCCAUCUUGGGAUCACUGCGGCAGCCAUCUUGGGGUCAUUGAAAGGUCACCCCCCCGGCAGCCAUCUUGGAACAGGCCUGGCGGCCAUUUUGUGACCCUGCCCCAUUUCAUGGCGGCCAUAUUGGGGUCAUUGAAAGGUCACUGUGGUGGCCAUAUUGGGGUCAAUCAAAGGUCACCGUGGCAACCAUAUUGGGGUCAAUCACAGCUCCCCCUGUCGGCCAUAUUGGAGUCACCCACAGACCACGUGACCACAGCCAGGCCACUGGCGGCCAUUUUGUCCCCCAUCAACCGUUCCACACUUACCCCGGCGGCCAUUUUGUGCCCCUCCCACAAUCGCCGGCCAUUUUCCCCCUUUCCCGCCACCAUCUUGCCCCGCCCAUCACGUCUUGCCCUUCCUCCCCCUGAGCCCCGCCCCCACCCCGGCGGGCGGGUCCUGUGGGGCCGCCCCUCCCCCAGCCUGGGCGGGGCCAGCGCAGCGCCGGGGCGGCUGCGUCCGGCGGGGCGGGGCCAAGGGGGAGCCCCGCCCACGCCGCCUCCUCUUGGUGGGGCGGGGCCUGCGUUAGCCCCGCCCCCUCUCCUCCUUUUCACCGGGGGUUGGGGGAGGGGCUCCCUGCGCCUGGCCACGCCCCCUCCCGAUGCGGCCACGCCCUCCUCGCUGCUGUCAUCGGGUGGGCGUGGCCUCCUCCGUGGCUCCCUCUGAAGGGGCGGAGCCAAGGGCGCUCCGGGGCGGGCCCGGGUGGAUCUGGGCGGGGCCGGCGAUGGUGGGCGGGGACUCGCCGACUCCUCCCCCUCCCCUCCCCCGCCGCGCUCGGGCGACGCCAUCUUGGGCGCCCGGCCGCUUCGAGGCGGGGACUCCUCCUCGGCCCCGCCCCCCGCGCCCCGCAUCGGCCGCCCGCGGCAGCGCGGCACGCCCCCCUCCUGCGGGCUGCAGGCGGCCCAGAUGGCGUGGCCGCCUCCUGGCCCUGGCCCCGCCCCCUCCCAGCAGCCUCCGCUUGGGCAGGCGGCCCCGGCAGCUUAUAAUGG
Molecule: long non-coding RNA, 1949 nt
Filed under: Camarhynchus parvulus
Lineage: Eukaryota; Metazoa; Chordata; Aves; Passeriformes; Thraupidae
Description: lncRNA (ENSCPVG00000017024.1)
Source: RNAcentral